GCGCCCGUAGCUCAGCGGAUAGAGCAUCGGUCUUCGGAACCGAGGGUCGCAGGUUCGAAUCCUGCCGGGCGUGCCA
Molecule: transfer RNA, 76 nt
Filed under: Dehalococcoidia bacterium
Lineage: Bacteria; Bacillati; Chloroflexota; Dehalococcoidia
Also listed under: 1 other name
Description: tRNA-Arg
Rfam family: tRNA
About the family: Transfer RNA (tRNA) molecules are approximately 80 nucleotides in length. Their secondary structure includes four short double-helical elements and three loops (D, anti-codon, and T loops). Further hydrogen bonds mediate the characteristic L-shaped molecular structure. tRNAs have two regions of fundamental functional importance: the anti-codon, which is responsible for specific mRNA codon recognition, and the 3' end, to which the tRNAs corresponding amino acid is attached (by aminoacyl-tRNA synthetases). tRNAs cope with the degeneracy of the genetic code in two manners: having more than one tRNA (with a specific anti-codon) for a particular amino acid; and 'wobble' base-pairing, i.e. permitting non-standard base-pairing at the 3rd anti-codon position.
Source: RNAcentral